AUUGAACGCUGGCGGCAUGCUUUACACAUGCAAGUCGAACGGUAACAGGCCGCAAGGUGCUGACGAGUGGCGAACGGGUGAGUAAUGCAUCGGAACGUGCCCAGUCGUGGGGGAUAACUACUCGAAAGAGUAGCUAAUACCGCAUACGAUCUAUGGAUGAAAGCGGGGGACCGUAAGGCCUCGCGCGAUUGGAGCGGCCGAUGUCAGAUUAGGUAGUUGGUGGGGUAAAGGCUCACCAAGCCAACGAUCUGUAGCUGGUCUGAGAGGACGACCAGCCACACUGGGACUGAGACACGGCCCAGACUCCUACGGGAGGCAGCAGUGGGGAAUUUUGGACAAUGGGCGCAAGCCUGAUCCAGCAAUGCCACGUGCAGGAAGAAGGCCUUCGGGUUGUAAACUGCUUUUGUACGGAACGAAACGGCUCUGGUUAAUACCCGGGGCUAAUGACGGUACCAUAAGAAUAAGCACCGGCUAACUACGUG
This 482-nucleotide ribosomal RNA is filed under the name uncultured bacterium. Its description in RNAcentral is "partial 16S ribosomal RNA". It matches the Rfam family "Bacterial small subunit ribosomal RNA", at positions 30 to 507 of the family's 1533-position model. The record is from RNAcentral.